UGCGAUCAGAUCAAAAGACACAAAACGAACUUCGGCAAUCGUUUUGGGUAUGGGGCUACGUUAUAAUCUAGUUUUCGUGUUCUUACUCUACAUGCACUUAAUAAUGGCACUUGCGAUUGACCAGUCGCCAGGCGUCCUCCUAAUCGAGCAGGGAAAGACCACGAAUGUCACCUGUACUCAGAAAACUACACAUACCAACAUGUAUUGGUACUUGCAGCGACCAGGACACACGCAGCUCCAACUCAUUCUGUAUUCCAUAGAAGGAAUCAAAGACACAUUUUUGGAAAAGGGAUGGGAAGAAGCCUUUACAGGUGAAAGGAAGUCAGCAGCAUCCCUUAUUCUGUCUCUGAAGAGCGCACAACCUAGCCAUAGCGGGAUGUAUUUCUGCGCAACGCAAGAUGCACAGUGAGCUCCAAUGACGUGGCACCCCUCCAAAAACUGCAACA
Protopterus annectens (West African lungfish) is the source of this 446-nucleotide non-coding RNA. The record is from the annotation of a RefSeq genome assembly. NCBI's taxonomy places the organism in Eukaryota, Metazoa, Chordata, Ceratodontiformes, Protopteridae.